Crepidotus variabilis is the source of this 89-nucleotide non-coding RNA. The record is from the annotation of a GenBank genome assembly. Lineage: Eukaryota; Fungi; Basidiomycota; Agaricomycetes; Agaricales; Crepidotaceae.
GGGCACAUGGUGUAGUUGGUUAUCACGCUCGCUUAGCAUCCCAAUGAGCUGUCUGCGAGAGGUGUUGGGUUCAAUUCCCAAUGUGUCCA